GUUGUAACUCAGUGGUAGAGCAUCUGCCUUUCCUGCAGGAAGACCUAGGUUCCGUCUCUGGCAUAUCCU
Non-coding RNA from Podarcis lilfordi (Lilford's wall lizard), 69 nucleotides. NCBI's taxonomy places the organism in Eukaryota, Metazoa, Chordata, Lepidosauria, Squamata, Lacertidae. The record is from the annotation of a GenBank genome assembly.